AGUGAACGCUGGCGGUAGGCCUAACACAUGCAAGUCGAACGGCAGCACAGUAAGAGCUUGCUCUUACGGGUGGCGAGUGGCGGACGAGUGAGGAAGACAUCGGAAUCUACUUUUUCGUGGGGGAUAACGUAGGGAAACUUACGCUAAUACCGCAUACGACCUACGUGUGAAAGCAGGGGAUCUUCGAACCUUGCGCUAUGGAAUGAGCCGAUGUUGGAUUCGCUAGUUGGCGGGGUAAAGGCCCACCAAGGCGACGAUCCGUAGCUGGUCUGAGAGGAUGAUUAGCCACACUGGAACUGAGAAACGGUCCAGACUCCUACGGGAGGCAGCAGUGGGGAAUAUUGGACAAUGCGGGCAAGCCUGAUACAGCCCUACCGGGUGGGUGAAGAAGGCCUUCUGGUUGUAAAGCCCUUAUGUUGGGAAAGAAAAGCAGCACGUUAAUACCCCGCUGUUCUGACGGUACCGAAAGAAUAAGCACCGGCUAACUUCGUG
This 492-nucleotide ribosomal RNA is filed under the name uncultured bacterium. RNAcentral describes it as "partial 16S ribosomal RNA". It matches the Rfam family "Bacterial small subunit ribosomal RNA", at positions 29 to 507 of the family's 1533-position model. The record is from RNAcentral.